AUGGGCGAAAGCCUGACGGAGCAAGACCGCGUGCGGGAGGAAGGUCUAUUGACUGUAAACCGCUUUUGAUAGGGAAGAAGAUCUGACGGUACCUAUCGAAUCAGCAUCGGCUAACUCCGUGCCAGCAGCCGCGGUAAUACGGGGGAUGCAAGCGUUAUCCGGAAUUAUUGGGCGUAAAGCGUCCGUAGGUGGUUUUAUAAGUCUGUUGUCAAAUCGCGAGGCUUAACCUCGUACAGGCAGUGGAAACUAUAAGACUAGAGUGCGGUAGGGGUAGAGGGAAUUUCCAGUGUAGCGGUGAAAUGCGUAGAUAUUGGAAAGAACACCGGUGGCGAAGGCGCUCUACUGGGCCUGCACUGACACUGAGGGACGAAAGCUAGGGGAGCGAAAGGGAUUA
RNAcentral lists this ribosomal RNA (394 nucleotides) under uncultured cyanobacterium. RNAcentral describes it as "bacterial SSU rRNA". It matches the Rfam family "Bacterial small subunit ribosomal RNA", at positions 371 to 780 of the family's 1533-position model. The record is from RNAcentral. Lineage: Bacteria; Bacillati; Cyanobacteriota.